This 468-nucleotide ribosomal RNA is filed under the name uncultured bacterium. RNAcentral describes it as "partial 16S ribosomal RNA". It matches the Rfam family "Bacterial small subunit ribosomal RNA", at positions 28 to 507 of the family's 1533-position model. The record is from RNAcentral.
GACGAACGCUGGCGGCGUGCUUAACACAUGCAAGUCGAACGGAAAGGCCCUGCUUUUGUGGGGUGCUCGAGUGGCGAACGGGUGAGUAACACGUGAGUAACCUGCCCUUGACUUUGGGAUAACUUCAGGAAACUGGGGCUAAUACCGGAUAGGAGCUCCUGCUGCAUGGUGGGGGUUGGAAAGUUUCGGCGGUUGGGGCUGGACUCGCGGCUUAUCAGCUUGUUGGUGGGGUAGUGGCUUACCAAGGCUUUGACGGGUAGCCGGCCUGAGAGGGUGACCGGCGACCAGGGGACUACGGUACGGCCCAGACUCCUACGUGCGGCAGCAGUGGGGAAUAUUGCACAAUGGGCGGAAGCCUGAGGCAGCAACGUCGGGUGCGGGAUGACGGCCUUCGGGUUGAAAACAGCUUUCGCCUGUGACGAAGCGUGAGUGACGGUAAUGGGUAAAGAAGCACCGGCUAACUACGUG